AGCGAAAGAGAAGGAGGCGGCAGGAAGAACGAAGCACAUCAUCAUACACCCUGCUGUACAUAAGAUUUCUAUAAACAAAGGGCCACAGAAUCAUGAAGAUGUUGGAUUACAAGAUAAUGAAGAUGUUGGCAAAAGUCUAUCCACUUACCACCUUUUCCAUCCAAUACCACUACCACCAAAGAAUGAAGAUGUUUAUGAAAAUCAACCAGAAGAUGUCCUUUUUCAUCCAGUACCAGGACGAAUGUUUAAUGAAGAUUUUGACAAAAGUCCAGUAAAAGAUCUCUUUUUCCAACCAGUACCAAUUUCAGACAAUGAAGAGUUUGAGAAGCGCAUACAACUUGUCCCCAAAGAAGAAGAAAGACCCCGACCCCGGGAACAAAUACUGUUGGCUGUAUCCUCAGCAACUCUGUGUGUUUUAAUAUUGCUUACAAUGCUUUGUGGUAUGACUGUAUACCAAUGUAGCAAAAGAAUUAGUUUCACAGAGCUCUCAUUUACUGCUUCUGAACAUCGAGCACUAUUUGGGCCAUCCUUUUUCCAUCCCUAUCCUUCCGAAACUACAGUCUCUAGAACUGAGAGCUUGAUAUGGAACGAGUCCGGACCAAGACCAGUAGGACGGAGCCCCUCGGUGGCUAAACCCUCAAGGGUGCUAACAUUUGAUCCUGUUGUACACUCAGUAGAUGAGGUGUCAACAUUUUCUGAUGAAUCAGCCCGCACUCUAGAGACAAUCAGGCCUAGAGAGACAGAACUAACUGAAGUAGUGGCACCCUCUCAAGCCCCAUCAACUGAAGCACCACCUCCA
Long non-coding RNA from Lacerta agilis (Sand lizard), 799 nucleotides. RefSeq lists it as uncharacterized. The record is from RefSeq and is a predicted model, not a curated record. The transcript has 6 exons. NCBI's taxonomy places the organism in Eukaryota, Metazoa, Chordata, Lepidosauria, Squamata, Lacertidae.